UACGUAGGGGGCAAGCGUUAUCCGGAUUUACUGGGUGUAAAGGGGGCGCAGACGGCGAUGCAAGCCAGGAGUGAAAGCCCGGGGCCCAACCCCGGGACUGCUCUUGGAACUGCAUGGCUGGAGUACAGGAGGGGCAGGCGGAAUUCCUAGUGUAGCGGUGAAAUGCGUAGAUAUUAGGAGGAGCACCGGUGGCGAAGGCGGCCUGCUGGACUGUGACUGACGUUGAGGCCCGAAGGCGUGGGGAGCAAACAGG
Molecule: ribosomal RNA, 253 nt
Filed under: uncultured bacterium
Lineage: Bacteria
Description: partial 16S ribosomal RNA
Rfam family: Bacterial small subunit ribosomal RNA
Source: RNAcentral